Lycium ferocissimum is the source of this 910-nucleotide long non-coding RNA. RefSeq lists it as uncharacterized. Lineage: Eukaryota; Viridiplantae; Streptophyta; Magnoliopsida; Solanales; Solanaceae. The transcript has 2 exons. The record is from RefSeq and is a predicted model, not a curated record.
UCUCCCCAUCACUUCCGUCACGUCACUUCACCGCCACCGCACCCGUCGAACCACCGGAAAAACUCCUGUGCCGACAUCACCCAUCUCCUAUCGCCUAUCACCUUUUCCCUUUUUGAAGACGUUUCCAAAAGCUGUAAAGGGAGAGAUUCUUAAAUCUUUCGGUCUGGGAGAUAAUCGUCCUUCAAUUCGAUGAACAAUGGCAAGAACCACCAUACUCUACACCCCCAACGGCUCUUUCCCUUCCCAAUCAGUCUGAAAAGGUGAGAUUUUUCACCCCUUUCACCAUCUCAUCUGUUGAAGACAUCAAUUUUUCCCCCUCUUUAAUUCGAAAUUCAAAGGCAAAAGCUUCUUAAAGAAGCUGUUGAAACACCCCAACCUUCAGCUAUAAAUACUGGGCUUUGAGGGCUGUUUUAGAGAGGUUGAAUAACCAGAAAAAAUCCCUUUUAUUUUUCACAACCUUUCCCCUCAUAAAAUUCCUUUUGUUAAUAACUUGGAUUCUGUGAAAAAUCUUAUUUUUUUACUAAGUUUUUGAUUGUCGAAAUCCGUUCUUUUAGUUCUCGGCUGAGGAAGGACCACUUCGAGCGGAUUUGGAGAUUCGACAACUACAAUAGCCUCAGUUCGCUGUCACGAAGAAGCACCCUGGGAGUUUAUCAACAAACUCCACGAGCUGUCCAAUUGGACUAAGUUACAAGCUGCGUCUGCCCCCAUUUUAUUCCUCCUAGAGUCACUAUUUCUUAUGUCUUCCGAUGGAGUCCCCUAGUUCGGUGUUGGGAUUCUUGAAAGAGAUGUCCAGCCACUUCUCUCUUCUUGUUGGCCUCGCAUUUACUUACAACCGUAUUCGUUGUAUUACUUGAACUAACACUUGCCAUUUUGAGUUUUCGGUGUUGAUAUGCUCUUGUUUGUGAACCAA